UGGGGAAUCUUGCACAAUGGGGGAAACCCCGAUGCAGCGACGCCGCGUGAACGAUGAAGCCCUUCGGGGUGUAAAGUUCUUUCGACAGGAACGAUAAUGACGGUACCUGGAGAAGAAGCUGCGGCUAACUACGUGCCAGCAGCCGCGGUAAUACGUAGGCAGCGAGCGUUGUUCGGAGUUACUGGGCGUAAAGAGUGCGUAGGCGGCGAGCCAAGUUUGGUGUGAAAUCUCCCGGCUUAACCGGGAGGGUGCGCCGAAAACUGGUUGGCUGGAGUAUGGGAGAGGAAAGCGGAAUUCCUGGUGUAGCGGUGAAAUGCGUAGAUAUCAGGAGGAACACCUGCGGUGUAGACAGCUUUCUGGACCAAAACUGACGCUGAGGCACGAAAUCGUGGGUAGCAAACA
Molecule: ribosomal RNA, 402 nt
Filed under: uncultured bacterium
Lineage: Bacteria
Description: bacterial SSU rRNA
Rfam family: Bacterial small subunit ribosomal RNA
Source: RNAcentral